GAGACCUUACCGCAUAUACAAUAACAGCACCAUUAAAUCCCAAAUUCCAAAUGCAUAUCAGAUUGAAAUAAAAUUAAAAAAAAAAAAAGUCUCCUCUACUACCUUUGGCCUGAACCUCCACCACGACACACCGACACACGCCACCACACAAGUCACUGGGGAGCUCGUAAACAUGCUAGAGCUACCGCGAGCAAGGUGUCGUGAUCCCAAGGUACCAAACCAGAAGAAACCAUGGUAGUAGAGGGGGCAACUUGACUCAGCUUGAUAAAGUGGGUGCAAGAUUAGUAGUAAGAAAGAUGGCCAACAAACAUCUUAAUGCUUGUACAUAGAUCAUGAUCCCUAGUUUGUUGUCAUUGCUGAUAAACUAGUAGAUGCUUCUUUGGUUGGUUAUGGAGCCAGUAUCAUAGCUUAUAUGCCUCCAAGUAUGAGAGCCACUGUAGUGGAUGAGAUAUAAGGCCAAUGCAAAAAUAAUCUCAUAUGCCAUUUGCAAAGAGAAUUAUAGCUUUUCUGGAGGCUAGCAAGGGGAAAUUUGAUUUUGUUAUUUUGUCAAAUUUUAGUUUGUAUGGUACAGGAGUAUUAGUUGGCUUGUAGUAUUCGAAAAUUCAUGACCUAUCUAGGAAUUUAAAAAAGUAUCCAUGUAAUUUUGAUUCUAUAAAAAAAUUGUUAAAAUUUCUUUUAUUUUGCUUAUUUAACUAAAAGGUCUUUUAGUUAUCCCAUUUGAAAAUUGUUUCAAGAA
Long non-coding RNA from Quercus robur (English oak), 736 nucleotides. RefSeq lists it as uncharacterized. The transcript is spliced from 2 exons. The record is from RefSeq and is a predicted model, not a curated record. NCBI's taxonomy places the organism in Eukaryota, Viridiplantae, Streptophyta, Magnoliopsida, Fagales, Fagaceae.